AGACCAAUCAAAUUUCCAUUAAAAAAGGAAAUAUAAACAUAAGGGCUAUUGUUGAAUUUUACAAUAGUAAUGCCUUAGUCAGUUGUGUCAUGGUUUCAGGCAAUAGAUUUUAAACUUUUUGAGAUCCCCUAGGUAAAGCCUGAAUGCAUUGCUGUCUUUUCCAGUGUCAUGCCCUCUUAAAGAAUCUUUAGUCCAGUAGUCUGAAAGUGAGCAGUUCGGAUUAGGCCAUGAUGACCUGAUAAUGU
Molecule: long non-coding RNA, 245 nt
Filed under: Bos taurus (domestic cattle)
Lineage: Eukaryota; Metazoa; Chordata; Mammalia; Artiodactyla; Bovidae
Description: long non-coding RNA NONBTAT023646
Source: RNAcentral